UUGAAGUUGAUUCGGGUUGUCGCUGGCUCUCCGGAGCAUGUGCACGCUCGUUCAUAUUCAUUCUCUCUUGUGCAUCUUUAGCUAGACUAUGAAUACCUCUCGAGUGAAAAUCUCGGAUGGAGGGUUGCGUUCUGAUGUGUGCUUCCCUUGCAUUUUCAUAGUCUAUGUUCUUUAUACACCCUUCGUAUGUCUUGAAUGUGUUUUUGUGGGUCUUUGACCUAUAAAAUCUAGUA
RNAcentral lists this unclassified non-coding RNA (233 nucleotides) under uncultured Mycenella. Its description in RNAcentral is "sequence contains ITS1". The record is from RNAcentral. Lineage: Eukaryota; Fungi; Basidiomycota; Agaricomycetes; Agaricales; Tricholomataceae.